RNAcentral lists this small RNA (100 nucleotides) under Enterobacter ludwigii. Its description in RNAcentral is "Enterobacteria rnk leader". It matches the Rfam family "Enterobacteria rnk leader", at positions 15 to 108 of the family's 109-position model. The record is from RNAcentral. Lineage: Bacteria; Pseudomonadati; Pseudomonadota; Gammaproteobacteria; Enterobacterales; Enterobacteriaceae.
ACCCAUGAAUGUGACCUGUAUCACUUCAAAGUUGUGCGCUCAGCCAGUAUCAUCAGAAGAGUUAAACCCUCGCUGCCAGACGGCGAGGGUUUUCUUUUGG